Molecule: transfer RNA, 61 nt
Filed under: Bothrogonia lata
Lineage: Eukaryota; Metazoa; Arthropoda; Insecta; Hemiptera; Cicadellidae
Also listed under: 1 other name
Description: tRNA-Arg
Source: RNAcentral
AACAAAGAAGUAAAAAUUACAUUUAGUUUCGACCUAAAAUUAAGGAAUAAACCUCAUGUUU